CAGUCGCCACGGUAAUACGAAGGGGGCUAGCGUUGUUCGGAAUCACUGGGCGUAAAGCGCACGUAGGCGGAUUGUUAAGUCAGGGGUGAAAUGCCAAGGCUCAACCUUGGAACUGCCUUUGAUACUGGCAAUCUCGAGUCCGGGAGAGGUGAGUGGAACUGCGAGUGUAGAGGUGAAAUUCGUAGAUAUUCGCAAGAACACCAGUGGCGAAGGCGGCUCACUGGCCCGGUACUGACGCUGAGGUGCGAAAGCGUGGGGAGCAAACAGGAUUAGAUACCCCAGUAGUCCCUGUCUCUUAUAC
Molecule: ribosomal RNA, 301 nt
Filed under: uncultured bacterium
Lineage: Bacteria
Description: partial 16S ribosomal RNA
Rfam family: Bacterial small subunit ribosomal RNA
Source: RNAcentral